This 454-nucleotide ribosomal RNA is filed under the name uncultured delta proteobacterium. RNAcentral describes it as "bacterial SSU rRNA". It matches the Rfam family "Bacterial small subunit ribosomal RNA", at positions 35 to 469 of the family's 1533-position model. Lineage: Bacteria; Deltaproteobacteria. The record is from RNAcentral.
GCUGGCGGCGUGCUUAACACAUGCAAGUCGCACGAGAACGCUUCAGCUUGCUGAAGUUAGUAAAGUGGCGCACGGGUGAGUAACGCGUGGGUAAUCUUCCCCCGAAUUGGGGAUAACAUUGCGAAAGCGAUGCUAAUACCGAAUGAUAUCUUUCGUACCCAGGUACUUAAGAUCAAAGGUGGCCUCUACAAGUAAGCUACUGUUUGGGGAUGAGCCCGCGUACCAUUAGCUUGUUGGUAGGGUAACGGCCUACCAAGGCUGCGAUGGUUAGCUGGUCUGAGAGGAUGAUCAGCCACACUGGAACUGACACACGGUCCAGACUCCUACGGGAGGCAGCAGUGAGGAAUUUUGCGCAAUGGGGGAAACCCUGACGCAGCAACGCCGCGUGAGUGAUGAAGGCUUUCGGGUCGUAAAGCUCUGUCAAGUGGGAAGAACCCACAUGGUGUUAAUAUCG